Molecule: microRNA precursor, 78 nt
Filed under: Schistosoma haematobium
Lineage: Eukaryota; Metazoa; Platyhelminthes; Trematoda; Strigeidida; Schistosomatidae
Description: mir-3492 microRNA precursor family
Rfam family: mir-3492 microRNA precursor family
Source: Rfam by way of RNAcentral
AGCCCUCUGCAUCCGCGCCGAGAUUUCGCCAAAUACCAGACCACAAGGGCUGAUGAGACUUCCAAGAUAAGUGAAGUG